UUCCCUGUAGCGCAAUGGAUAGCGCAUUGGACUUCUAAUCCAAAAGUCGUGGGUUCGAAUCCUACCUGAGAUG
RNAcentral lists this transfer RNA (73 nucleotides) under Trichonephila inaurata madagascariensis. It matches the Rfam family "tRNA". Rfam says of the family: Transfer RNA (tRNA) molecules are approximately 80 nucleotides in length. Their secondary structure includes four short double-helical elements and three loops (D, anti-codon, and T loops). The record is from Rfam by way of RNAcentral. Lineage: Eukaryota; Metazoa; Arthropoda; Arachnida; Araneae; Nephilidae.